AUGGCGUAACUGCCAAUCAAAGUCAUAACUCAAUACACAGUAACUAGCGUCAUCAACCCAACUUGAAUUCUAUCCCAAAACAAAGAAAUUUGACAUUUUAUUAACCUCUGCAACCUUAUUGUAAAUGAAAUAACAAUUUUACCACAUUUUACUACUGUGUUUCUCUUGAUGUUAUUUACACUCAUCUUAUGAACAGUGGGCUUACGGGGCAUCUACCCCCAGCUCAGCGUUCAGUGAUGUCACUUCAGUAGCCUGAAAUUGGUCAUUCCUCAGUUUACCAGGCUGCUGCACAAAAUUCACUCUCCAGCCCUACUUUGGAGCAAUGAGGAACCCCAGCGUCUUGAUCUGUCGUUUUGGAGCUGCUUCAUGUGGAAGAUGGAUAGGACCAGUUUCAGCAAACCUAGUAUCUGUCCAUUGACAAGAGAUGAUGGAGUUCAAGCAGGUUUGAUGGGGCUUGUCCAAAGAAAUGCAGUCCCAGAGCAGUCUUUUUAG
This 492-nucleotide long non-coding RNA is filed under the name Lynx canadensis (Canada lynx). RNAcentral describes it as "lncRNA (ENSLCNG00005018650.1)". The record is from RNAcentral. Lineage: Eukaryota; Metazoa; Chordata; Mammalia; Carnivora; Felidae.